This 467-nucleotide ribosomal RNA is filed under the name uncultured bacterium. RNAcentral describes it as "partial 16S ribosomal RNA". It matches the Rfam family "Bacterial small subunit ribosomal RNA", at positions 28 to 507 of the family's 1533-position model. The record is from RNAcentral.
GACGAACGCUGGCGGCGUGCUUAACACAUGCAAGUCGAACGGAAAGGCCUCUUUCGGGGGGUACUCGAGUGGCGAACGGGUGAGUAACACGUGAGUAACCUGCCCUUGACUUUGGGAUAACUUCAGGAAACUGGGGCUAAUACCGGAUAGGAGCUCCUGCUGCAUGGUGGGGGUUGGAAAGUUUCGGCGGUUGGGGAUGGACUCGCGGCUUAUCAGCUUGUUGGUGGGGUAGUGGCUUACCAAGGCUUUGACGGGUAGCCGGCCUGAGAGGGUGACCGGCCACAUUGGGACUGAGAGACGGCCCAGACUCCUACGGGAGGCAGCAGUGGGGAAUAUUGCACAAGGGGUGGAAGCCUGAUGCAGCAACGCCGUGGGCGGGAGGACGGCCUUCGGGUUGGAAACCGAUUUCGCUCAUGACGAAGCUUUGUGUGACGGUAGUGGGUAAAGAAGCACCGGCUAACUACGUG